AGAGCAUAUGGUGGAUGCCUUGGCGCAGAGAGGCGAUGAAGGACGUGGCUAGCUGCGAUAAGCUUCGGGGAGUCGCUAAACAGACUUUGAUCCGGAGAUUUCCGAAUGGGGAAACCCACCUCGAUGAAGUCGAGCUAUCUUCAUCUGAAUACAUAGGGUGAAGAAGUGAACCCAGGGAAGUGAACCAUCUCAGUACCUGGAGGAAUAGAAAACAAUAGUGAUUCCCUGAGUAGCGGCGAGCGAACGGGGAACAGCCCAAACCGCAAUCAUGUCAAGCUUGUGUGCGUUGUGUUUGCGGUGUUGCGGGGCCUAACUUGAUUCUGGCACAACAGGAUCGAAGAGUUACAAAAGACAAUCUUAACCGAAUACUUUGGAAAGAGUAACCAUAGGAGGUGACAGUCCUGUAGGUGAAAAGCUUGUCUCUCUUUUGUUGGGUUCCCAAGUACCACGGGACACGAGAAAUCUUGUGGGAAUCCGGGAGGACCAUCUCCCAAGGCUAAAUACUACUCUGCGACCGAUAGUGAACCAGUACCGUGAGGGAAAGGUGAAAAGUACCCCUGUUAGGGGAGUGAAAUAGUACCUGAAACCGUAUGCUUACAAGCAGUCGGAGCUCUGGCUUGCCAGGGUGACGGCGUGCCUUUUGCAUAAUGAGCCGGCUAGUUAUUCUAUGCGGCAAGGUUAAGCUUGUUGACAAGCGGAGCCAUAGCGAAAGCGAGUCUGAAUAGGGCGUUAAGUCGUAUGGAAUAGACGCGAAGCUGAGUGAUCUAUCCUUGGCCAGGAUGAACAUCAGGUAACACUGAUGGGAGGUCCGAACCGCUACAGGUUGAAAACUGUUCGGAUGAGCUGAGGAUAGGGGCGAAAGACUAAUCAAACUCAGUGAUAGCUCGUUCUCUUCGAAAUAGCUUUAGGGCUAGCCUUACAUAUUGGUAAGAGAGGUAGAGCACUGGAUGGCCUAGGGCUUCGAAAGUUGUACCGAAUCCAACCAAACUCCGAAUUCUCUUAACCACAGUGUAGGAGUCAGACUGCCGGGGCUAAGCUCGGUAGUCGAGAGGGAAACAACCCAGACCGUCAGCUAAGGUCCCUAAAUGCAUGCUAAGUGGGCAAGGAAGUGAAGCCGCAAAGACAACCAGGAGGUUGGCUUAGAAGCAGCCAUCCUUUAAAGAAAGCGUAACAGCUCACUGGUCAAGUAUUUUUGCGCCGACAAUGUAACGGGGCUAAGCUUGCUACCGAAGCUACGGAUCCCCCUCGGGGGAUGGUAGAAGAGCAUUCUAAUCUGGCUGAAGCUUCGAUGUGAGUCGGAGUGGACGGAUUAGAAGAGACCCUGCCGGCAUGAGUAGCGAGAUUCCGGUAAAAACCCGGAACGCCGAAAAUCUAAGGUUUCCUGAGGAAGGCCAGUCCACUCAGGGUUAGUCGGUUCCUAAGCCGAGGCCGAAAGGCGUAGGCGAUGGACAGCAGGUCAACAUUCCUGCACCGCCUGAAAAACGUUUGUACGAUGGGGUGACGCAGAAGGAUAGGCAUACACACGAUUGGAAAUGUGUGGCCGCCAGGUAGGAGGAGCUUUUAGGUAAAUCCGGAAGCUCAUUAACUCCGAGCACGGCGGGGAAGAUUACCUUCGGGUUUUCCAACUUGUCGAAUCCAUGCUGCCAAGAAAAACCUCUAAGGAGUAUUUCAGGUGACCGUACCGUAAACCGACACAGGUAGAUGAGGAGAGAAUCCUAAGGCGAACGUGUAAACCCUCUUUAAGGAACUCGGCAAAUUAACCCCGUAACUUCGGAAUAAGGGGAGCCUCGUGUAGUGUGACCUUGCUUCGCGCGAGUAAGCACGAAGAGGCCGCAGAGAAAUGGCCCAGGCGACUGUUUACUAAAAACACAGGUCUCUGCAAAGUCAACAAAACGACGUAUAGGGACUGACACCUGCCCGGUGCCGGAAGGUUAAAGGAAAGGGUUAGCUUCUUCGGAAGCGAAGCUCUGAACUGAAGCCCCGGUAAACGGCGGCAGUAACUAUAACGGUCCUAAGGUAGCGAAAUUCCUUGUCGGGUAAGUGCCGACCCGCACGAAAGGUGCAACGACUUGGGCACUGUCUCGAAGAGGGGCACGGCGAAAUUGUAGUACCGGUGAAGAUGCCGGUUACCUGCCGUAGGACGGAAAGACCCCGGCACCUUAACUGCAGCCUAGCAUUGGAUUUUGGGUUAUUAUGUGCAGCAUAGGUGGGAGACUAUGAAGUUCUGACGCUAGUCAGGAUGGAGUCAUCGGUGAGAUACCACUCUUAAUAUUCUGGAGUUCUAACCUGCAGCCGUGAUCCGGCUGAGGAACAGUGUUAGGUGGGUAGUUUGACUGGGGCGGUCGCCUCCUAAAAUGUAACGGAGGCGUCCUAAGGUUCCCUCAGACUGUUUGGAAAUCAGUCGAAGAGUACAAAGGCAUAAGGGAGCUUGACUGUGAGACAUACAGGUCGAGCAGGUAGGAAACUAGGGCUUAGUGAUCCGGCGGUCCCGUAUGGAAGGGCCGUCGCUCAACGGAUAAAAGGUACGCCGGGGAUAACAGGCUAAUAGGGCCCAAGAGCUCAUAUCGACGGCCCUGUUUGGCACCUCGAUGUCGGCUCAUCGCAUCCUGGGGCUGUAGCCGGUCCCAAGGGUUGGGCUGUUCGCCCAUUAAAGCGGUACGUGAGCUGGGUUUAGAACGUCGCGAGACAGUUCGGUCCCUAUCCACGGUAGGCGGAGGAAAUUUGAGGGAGCCUGUUCCUAGUACGAAAGGACCGGAACGGACAAACCUAUGGUGUACCAGUUGUCCCGCCAGGGGCAUCGCUGGGUAGCUACGUUUGGUUGAGAUAACCGCUGAAAGCAUAUAAGCGGGAAACUCGUCCCAAGAUUAGAUUUCCCUCCCAAUAGGGCUAAAGGUCCCUUGU
Molecule: ribosomal RNA, 2901 nt
Filed under: marine sediment metagenome
Description: bacterial LSU rRNA
Rfam family: Bacterial large subunit ribosomal RNA
Source: RNAcentral